This 76-nucleotide transfer RNA is filed under the name Desulfobaculum bizertense. RNAcentral's name for it is "Paradesulfovibrio bizertensis tRNA-Ala". It matches the Rfam family "tRNA". From Rfam's summary of the family: Transfer RNA (tRNA) molecules are approximately 80 nucleotides in length. Their secondary structure includes four short double-helical elements and three loops (D, anti-codon, and T loops). RNAcentral also lists the same sequence under 2 other names. The record is from RNAcentral. Lineage: Bacteria; Pseudomonadati; Thermodesulfobacteriota; Desulfovibrionia; Desulfovibrionales; Desulfovibrionaceae.
GGGGAUGUAGCUCAGUUGGGAGAGCGCAGCCUUCGCAAGGCUGAAGUCGAGAGUUCAAAUCUCUUCAUCUCCACCA